Molecule: unclassified non-coding RNA, 257 nt
Filed under: Endoconidioma sp.
Lineage: Eukaryota; Fungi; Ascomycota; Dothideomycetes; Dothideales; Dothideaceae
Also listed under: 1 other name
Description: partial contains 5.8S ribosomal RNA, internal transcribed spacer 2, and large subunit ribosomal RNA
Rfam family: 5.8S ribosomal RNA (bases 1-52)
Source: RNAcentral
AACGCACAUUGCGCCCCUUGGUAUUCCGAGGGGCAUGCCUGUUCGAGCGUCAUUACACCACUCAAGCACUGCUUGGUAUUGGGCAUCGUCCGUCGAAAGACGGGCGUGCCUCGAAGACCUCGGCGGGGUUUCUCCAACUUCGGGCGUAGUAGAGUUAAAUCAAAACGUCUUAUAAGCUUGUUGAGAUCUCAUUGCCGUAAAACCUUUUAUUUUUUCAGGUUGACCUCGGAUCAGGUAGGGAUACCCGCUGAACUUAA